This 541-nucleotide ribosomal RNA is filed under the name Escherichia coli. RNAcentral's name for it is "bacterial SSU rRNA". It matches the Rfam family "Bacterial small subunit ribosomal RNA", at positions 590 to 1131 of the family's 1533-position model. Lineage: Bacteria; Pseudomonadati; Pseudomonadota; Gammaproteobacteria; Enterobacterales; Enterobacteriaceae. The record is from RNAcentral.
AGAUGUGAAAUCCCCGGGCUCAACCUGGGAACUGCAUCUGAUACUGGCAAGCUUGAGUCUCGUAGAGGGGGGUAGAAUUCCAGGUGUAGCGGUGAAAUGCGUAGAGAUCUGGAGGAAUACCGGUGGCGAAGGCGGCCCCCUGGACGAAGACUGACGCUCAGGUGCGAAAGCGUGGGGAGCAAACAGGAUUAGAUACCCUGGUAGUCCACGCCGUAAACGAUGUCGACUUGGAGGUUGUGCCCUUGAGGCGUGGCUUCCGGAGCUAACGCGUUAAGUCGACCGCCUGGGGAGUACGGCCGCAAGGUUAAAACUCAAAUGAAUUGACGGGGGCCCGCACAAGCGGUGGAGCAUGUGGUUUAAUUCGAUGCAACGCGAAGAACCUUACCUGGUCUUGACAUCCACGGAAGUUUUCAGAGAUGAGAAUGUGCCUUCGGGAACCGUGAGACAGGUGCUGCAUGGCUGUCGUCAGCUCGUGUUGUGAAAUGUUGGGUUAAGUCCCGCAACGAGCGCAACCCUUAUCCUUUGUUGCCAGCGGUCCGGC